UAGGGAAUCUUCCGCAAUGGACGCAAGUCUGACGGAGCAACGCCGCGUGAGUGAAGAAGGAUUUCGGUUCGUAAAACUCUGUUGUUAGAGAAGAACAGCGCAUAGAGUAACUGUUAUGCGUGUGACGGUAUCUAACCAGAAAGCCACGGCUAACUACGUGCCAGCAGCCGCGGUAAUACGUAGGUGGCAAGCGUUGUCCGGAUUUAUUGGGCGUAAAGCGAGCGCAGGCGGUCAAUUAAGUCUGAUGUGAAAGCCCCCGGCUCAACCGGGGAAGGUCAUUGGAAACUGGUUGUCUUGAGUGCAGAAGAGGAGAGUGGAAUUCCAUGUGUAGCGGUGAAAUGCGUAGAUAUAUGGAGGAACACCAGUGGCGAAGGCGACUCUCUGGUCUGUAACUGACGCUGAGGCUCGAAAGCGUGGGUAGCAAACAGG
RNAcentral lists this ribosomal RNA (429 nucleotides) under Bacteroidota bacterium. RNAcentral describes it as "Bacteroidetes bacterium partial 16S ribosomal RNA". It matches the Rfam family "Bacterial small subunit ribosomal RNA", at positions 355 to 776 of the family's 1533-position model. The record is from RNAcentral. Lineage: Bacteria; Pseudomonadati; Bacteroidota.